Molecule: ribosomal RNA, 432 nt
Filed under: uncultured bacterium
Lineage: Bacteria
Description: bacterial SSU rRNA
Rfam family: Bacterial small subunit ribosomal RNA
Source: RNAcentral
UGCAAGUCGAACGGGGUAGCAAUACCCAAUGGCAGACGGGUGAGUAACACGUGGUCAACCUACCUUUGUGAGGGGGAUAACUAGCCGAAAGGUUAGCUAAUACCGCAUACGAUCGCUUUGGGGCAUCCCGAGGCGAUGAAAGAAGCAAUUCGCACGAAGAGGGGACUGCGUCCCAUUAGUUAGUUGGUGGGGUAACGGCCUACCAAGACUCCGAUGGGUAGCUGGCUUGAGAGAGCGACCAGCCACACUGGAACUGAGACACGGUCCAGACUCCUAUGGGAGGCAGCAGUGAGGAAUUUUCCGCAAUGGGCGAAAGCCUGACGGAGCGACGCCGCGUGUGGGAAGAAGGCCUUCGGGUCGUAAACCACUGUCGAAGGGGACGAUAUUGACGGUACCCUUGGAUGAAGCCCCGGCUAACUACGUUGCAGCACG